GUAACACAGGCAGUACACCAGCAUGUCUGUAACACAGGCAGUACACCAGCAUGUCUGUAACACAGGCAGUACACCAGCAUGUCUGUAACACAGGCAGUACACCAGCAUGUCUGUAACAGAGGCAGUACACCAGCAUGUCUGUAACACAGGCAGUACACCAGCAUGUCUGUAACACAGGUUAACACAGGCAGUACACCAGCAUGUCUGUAACACAGGCAGUACACCAGCAUGUCUGUAACACAGGCAGUACACCAGCAUGUCUGUAACACAGGCAGUACACCAGCAUGUCUGUAACACAGGCAGCACACCAGCAUGAAUGUCUGUAACAC
This is a long non-coding RNA of Haliotis rubra (blacklip abalone), 329 nucleotides long. RefSeq lists it as uncharacterized. The transcript has 3 exons. The record is from RefSeq and is a predicted model, not a curated record. Lineage: Eukaryota; Metazoa; Mollusca; Gastropoda; Lepetellida; Haliotidae.